RNAcentral lists this ribosomal RNA (486 nucleotides) under uncultured bacterium. RNAcentral describes it as "bacterial SSU rRNA". It matches the Rfam family "Bacterial small subunit ribosomal RNA", at positions 28 to 507 of the family's 1533-position model. The record is from RNAcentral.
GAUGAACGCUAGCUACAGGCUUAACACAUGCAAGUCGAGGGGCAGCGCAGUGUAGCAAUACAUGGGCGGCGACCGGCGCACGGGUGCGUAACGCGUAUCCAACCUUCCCGUUACUCAGGGAUAGCCUUCCGAAAGGGAGAUUAAUACCUGAUGGUGUUUGAAUUCCGCAUGUUAUUCAAACUAAAGAUUUAUCGGUAACGGAUGGGGAUGCGUGACAUUAGGUAGAUGGCGGGGUAACGGCCCACCAUGCCUACGAUGUCUAGGGGUUCUGAGAGGAAGGUCCCCCCACACUGGAACUGAGACACGGUCCAGACUCCUACGGGAGGCAGCAGUGAGGAAUAUUGGUCAAUGGUCGAGAGACUGAACCAGCCAAGUCGCGUGAGGGAAGACUGCCCUAUGGGUUGUAAACCUCUUUAGUCGGGAGCAAAAAAGCGGACGUGUCCGCCAUUGAGCGUACCCGAAGAAUAAGCAUCGGCUAACUCCGUG